Molecule: ribosomal RNA, 830 nt
Filed under: uncultured bacterium
Lineage: Bacteria
Description: bacterial SSU rRNA
Rfam family: Bacterial small subunit ribosomal RNA
Source: RNAcentral
GAGGAAUACCGAUGGCGAAGGCAGCCCCCUGGGCUAAGAUUGACGCUCAUGCACGAAAGCGUGGGGAGCAAACAGGAUUAGAUACUCUGGUAGUCCACGCCCUAAACGAUGUCUACUAGUUGUCGGGUCUUAAUUGACUUGGUAACGCAGCUAACGCGUGAAGUAGACCGCCUGGGGAGUACGGUCGCAAGAUUAAAACUCAAAGGAAUUGACGGGGACCCGCACAAGCGGUGGAUGAUGUGGAUUAAUUCGAUGCAACGCGAAAAACCUUACCUACCCUUGACAUGUACGGAAUUCUGCUGAGAGGUGGAAGUGCUCGAAAGAGAACCGUAACACAGGUGCUGCAUGGCUGUCGUCAGCUCGUGUCGUGAGAUGUUGGGUUAAGUCCCGCAACGAGCGCAACCCUUGUCAUUAGUUGCUACGAAAGGGCACUCUAAUGAGACUGCCGGUGACAAACCGGAAGAAGGUGGGGAUGACGUCAAGUCCUCAUGGCCCUUAUGGGUAGGGCUUCACACGUCAUACAAUGGUACAUACAGAGGGCCGCCAACCCGCGAGGGGGAGCUAAUCCCAGAAAGUGUAUCGUAGUCCGGAUUGUAGUCUGCAACUCGACUACAUGAAGUUGGAAUCGCUAGUAAUCGCGAAUCAGCAUGUCGCGGUGAAUACGUUCCCGGGUCUUGUACACACCGCCCGUCACACCAUGGGAGCGGGUUUUACCAGAAGUAGGUAGCUUAGCCGCAAGGAGGGCGCUUACCACGGUAGGAUUCGUGACUGGGGUGAAGUCGUAACAAGGUAGCCGUAUCGGAAGGUGCGGCUGGAUCACCUCCUUUCUG